This 1159-nucleotide long non-coding RNA is filed under the name Struthio camelus australis. Its description in RNAcentral is "lncRNA (ENSSCUG00000002233.1)". Lineage: Eukaryota; Metazoa; Chordata; Aves; Struthioniformes; Struthionidae. The record is from RNAcentral.
CUGGAGCAGUUUUGCACGUUCAUGAAAGUACAGUGAACAAGAAGGUCCAUCAGUCCCACCGUGGGGUUUGCAGCUGAGCACGGCGGCGUAAUCAUCACCUUCUGCAUCUGCACCCUGCCUCUGCCACAGACAACUGGCUGAUGCAGUUGCUUUCCCGGGAGGUUUCCAUGCUACGUAUGAGAAUGGAAAGUAGUUACAACAGCAAUGUUCAGUCUCAUCAAGAGGCCCAGGAGAAGCCCAACCUGCCUGGAGGCAGCGGAGCAGCCGGCGAUGGCACCGAGAGCGGCGUGAUGAGCUCCACCUGCUCCUGGCUGCCACCGCGGGCGCCCGGAGCAUCUCCAGCCUCCAGAGGGGGNNNNNNNNNNNNNNNNNNNNNNNNNNNNGAGCUAGGGCUCUCGGCAGAAAGAGGGUCCCGUCACCCGUCACGGGUGAUUCCUGGCAGCGUUCGCCGGAGGUGGGAGAGCCGGGUGUCCGAAGUGCAGAGAGGCGGGAGGGGAAGAUCCAAGGUCAACGUUGAUGCCCAGAUUUCUACCCUUAAAGCCCAAAUCGAAAUUCUGAGUCAGAGGUCAGCACAGGCUUUUUAAGCACAGGAAAAGCUGUGAGUCACUUCUGAACCGCGUGUCUAGACUGCUGCGGGCAAACCGCGAGUCUUUGGGAGGAAGGCUGGGCGAGGAUGACAGCACGCAAGAAACGGGUCCGCGGGGGCCAAACGCGUUUUGGAGGCGGUGGCGGGGGGGAGCGGUGCCGGGGUGGAGGCUGAGCUGGCCAGGGCUGGCAUCGCGCCCGUGCUGUCCCCAUUCCCGGUCCGGUCCCGUCCCAUCCCGUCCCGGGGCAGGCGGGACCUGCCACCGUUUCCCCAGUGAGGCUUUGCCCAGAAAACUGGCUGUUGCUUACUGGGAUUUUUAGCCAGAAAAUUGCAGUUUUUAACUUGGUUUGAUCCGAACGCCACUGAAAGCGGUGGAAGCGCCUGGCCUUCGGGGAGGAGGCUGGUGAGGGAGGUGGUGAGGACCCUCCAACGCGGGUUGGGGGCUCGGAGCGGGUAGCAGCCACUUUGUGGGAUUUUUUCCCCCCUCUCCUCGUUCCUCAGCAGGUUGAGACCCAGAAGAGCGGGUGCCGUUACCUUAAUAAAACAGAGGUUGGGCUUUAAGCCGGGCUAUGG